This 164-nucleotide small nuclear RNA is filed under the name Oncorhynchus mykiss (rainbow trout). RNAcentral describes it as "U1 spliceosomal RNA (ENSOMYG00000055838.1)". It matches the Rfam family "U1 spliceosomal RNA". Rfam says of the family: U1 is a small nuclear RNA (snRNA) component of the spliceosome (involved in pre-mRNA splicing). Its 5' end forms complementary base pairs with the 5' splice junction, thus defining the 5' donor site of an intron. Lineage: Eukaryota; Metazoa; Chordata; Actinopteri; Salmoniformes; Salmonidae. The record is from RNAcentral.
AUACUUACCUGGCAAGGGAGACACCGUGAUCACGAAGGCGGUUCACCCAGGGCGAGGCUCAGCCAUUGCACUCCGGCUGUGCUGACCCCUGCAAAUUUCUCAAAUGUGGAAAUAUCGAUUGCAUAAUUUCUGGUAGUGGGGGACUGCGUUCGCGCUCUCCCCUG